Molecule: ribosomal RNA, 193 nt
Filed under: uncultured Geobacteraceae bacterium
Lineage: Bacteria; Pseudomonadati; Thermodesulfobacteriota; Desulfuromonadia; Geobacterales; Geobacteraceae
Description: partial 16S ribosomal RNA
Rfam family: Bacterial small subunit ribosomal RNA
Source: RNAcentral
CCUACGGGAGGCAGCAGUGGGGAAUUUUGCGCAAUGGGGCAACCCUGACGCAGCAACGCCGCGUGAGUGAUGAAGGCUUUCGGGUCGUAAAGCUCUGUCAGAAGGGAAGAAAUGGGACGUGCUAAUAUCGCGUCUCCUUGACGGUACCUUCAAAGGAAGCACCGGCUAACUCCGUGCCAGCAGCCGCGGUAAU